Molecule: ribosomal RNA, 377 nt
Filed under: uncultured microorganism
Description: bacterial SSU rRNA
Rfam family: Archaeal small subunit ribosomal RNA
Source: RNAcentral
GCGCACCAGGCGCGAAACCUCCGCAAUACACGAAAGUGUGACGGGGCCAUCCCGAGUGCCGUCCGCUGAGGACGGCUUUUCCCCAGUGUACGCAGCUGGGGGAAUAAGGAGAGGGCAAGCCUGGUGUCAGCCGCCGCGGCAAUACCAGCUCUCCGAGUGGUGGGGACGCUUAUUGGGCCUAAAGCAUCCGUAGCCGGCUGGGCAAGUCCUCCGUUAAAUCCAACGAUUCAAUCGUUGGGCUGCGGGGGAUACUGUCCAGCUUGGGGGCGGGAGAGGCCGACGGUAUUCCCGGGGUAGGGGUGAAAUCCUAUAAUCCCGGGAGGACCACCAGUGGCGAAGGCUGUCGGCUAGAACGCGCCCGACGGUGAGGGAUGAAA